Molecule: long non-coding RNA, 858 nt
Filed under: Phascolarctos cinereus (koala)
Lineage: Eukaryota; Metazoa; Chordata; Mammalia; Diprotodontia; Phascolarctidae
Description: lncRNA (ENSPCIG00000031299.1)
Source: RNAcentral
UCAUCCUCAUCAGUAUCCCCACUCAAGAAAGGGCAUCACUCCCAUAGGAGAUUUCCAGACCAACCGUCCUAAGGUCCAAGGUUACUGCUAAGAAGGCAGUUGUGUACAAGGCUUGCCUGACUGACAUCUUUGGUUUGAAGAGGUGGAUUGCUGACCAGAGCUCUAACAUCGGGCCGAUCUUGAGCCAGCUUUGGCCUUCUCUGCACGCCUAAACCAUUUAUCAAAAUGUUUAUCACCAUUCUCCAUGGAGAUCAUGAAAAGACCUUAUUUAAUUCUCACUGCAAAGUAGAGGCGCUAUUGAGCAGUAUUAAGCAGUGCUGUGGCUGUGAGCCUGAAGAGAUGAUUGAACUGGCAGACGAGAGUGGUCAGUUGAAAAACCUUCUCCAGUACCCUCAACUCUAUGCAUCUGAACUGCUGAAGCCCCGAGAAACCUAUAUCCCUUUCUCUGUAAAACGACCUGAAGGUUCAUCAGAGCCAGUCUUUGUGGCUCUACUAAAAGAUGAAGUUAUUGACUCUAAAUUACUAGGAAGAGCCUGGAGGGAAAUACCUUGCAGCUUCCUUGUUUGGACUCUCACAAGCUGCCCUGCAAUCUCACCGUGUGUCUGCACAGUGGGGAAGAGGGAGAACAGUCAACAGGAAGUCCUUUGGAGCCCAGUGUUGUGGUACAACCUGGCGAUCAGCCGCAUUCCUUCCUUCCCGAUGUCAUUAACAAUAAUAAUAUUUAACAGCUAGGUAACACUGUAGCACCGGAGUGUUGUCAAGGCAUGAACUAAUUCAGCUGCCUAGCCAGCCUCUCCUUGAAAGCUUGUCUCUGCAAGGUUGAAGCUAAUAAAGAGCUUUUUCACAGUGAAAAUAGCA